AUAUGAAAAAAUUAUAGAGAUACAAAAAUCAGUUUAGGAAAUGAGAAUCUCCAUUCCCAACUCUCCAUGAGAAUGAGAUUCUCAUUCCUUAUUCCUAAAUUGUGUGGGACUCGCACAUUUUAUUUUCAUUCUCAAAUUACAUUUUAUCAAGUAAACAUGAGUUUCAUUCUCAUUCAUUUAUUCACAUUCCCUAAACCAUCAAGUCAACACACCAUAAGUAGUUGCAAUCCGCUUAAGAAAAAGGAUUGACAAAAUUUAUUAGCUUAAUAUAUAAAACCCUUGCGUCUUUGGGUUGAACCAUAUCAUAUUUCAACCAUAUCUCACUUUCUUAUGUGUGUGGCCAACACUUCAUACAUGAAUUUUUUCUAUCUACACACAUAUGUAGGAUUCUUUAUUUGCUUUUCAUUUUAGAUAUAUGCAUGUUAUCACAUUUUGAAAUGUUUGAAUUUUGAAUUAGAAUUAGAUGACAUUUAUCUAAUUACAGUACAACAUUAAAGCUUUGAGCAUAGCGUCAAUUAUGAUGUUGUGACUUUUAAGUCGUGACUCUAUGAAUUAAAAAUUUCAGUUACAAACUAAAAGUUAAUA
RNAcentral lists this long non-coding RNA (585 nucleotides) under Citrus x clementina. RNAcentral describes it as "Citrus clementina (C. clementina) long non-coding RNA (CCLE_LNC001970)". Lineage: Eukaryota; Viridiplantae; Streptophyta; Magnoliopsida; Sapindales; Rutaceae. The record is from RNAcentral.